AUAAAACCGUGGUCUCUUACCAUACCCGUGACAGUGGUCAAUGUGUACUGGAUGCAUGAAGACCUAAAGGACCUAAAUAUUAUCUGACAGACUACUGUAAGCCAUAGAAUCAUAGAAUCACUAAGGGUUGGAAAAGACCCACAGGUUCAUCCAGUCCAACCAUUCACCCAUCACCAAUGGUCAAAAAAAAAAAAAAAAAAGGCUGAUUUUCUCAAUGCCAAGAUCUCUUGCUAUAGCCCAGUUUUCUGCAGAUGAGUAUGUUGGACGCCUGUGCUAAGCACCAUCAGUACCACAGCCGCUUCCCUCGGAUCCUGGGUGUCUCUCUCCAGGCAGUCCCUUUGCCUGGCUGACAUGCCUGGCAGAGGAUUCCCUGAAGGGAACCUUUUCCUCACAGCUGAUGCUGAGCACCUUACGUUCUGUGUCCAUCAUCGGAUCACCUCCACAGCCCCAUUUUAUACCACUGUUACAAUGAGAAAGAAUGUAGGCAAGGAUGGAAUGAAACGAAUUUAGCAAACACAAACUGCAAGGCAUAGCCAUUAGGUGAGCAUUUCGAACCACGGUGUGUAAAGGAGUUAUAAAAUACAAGCAGGUCUAUAAAACAAGAACAUCCUGUGUUGACAAAUAAAUUGUAUCCUUCCUCCAUCAGGUAUCAGCUUUUUUCACCUUUUCCCUCAGUAAUGAUAUCUCGGAGCACAGAGGGAUUUUUGCUGUAGGGGCAGAGAUGGGAGGUGUCACUGGGAAAAAUUCCUUAAAAAUAUAUAUGUUUUUAUUUUUUAAUAAUGUUUGUGAGCAUCUACUACUCAGGAAGGAACCUCAGCCUGUCUUGAAGGGGAGGUGUUCAGCUCCCUGAUCAUCUUUGUGGCCCUCAUCUGGACUCUCUCUGACAGCUCUUUGUCUUUUCCUCCUCCUUUCAGGAAAAUCAUAGAAGCUGAAGUGAGGAUAUUUGUGGGUUUUGUUUGGGGCCUGGUGCUGAGAAGACCUACAUCCUUGCCGCUGCACAGAAAACACACCAAUGUUUCUGUGCCCCUCCACUCACCUCUCCUGCUGUAUGAAGUUGGCUGCAUCAGCCUUUGGAUGCUGGAAGGCACCACAGGUGUGAGCCAGAGAAACCCCACAGAAAAUAAAGUAGAUACCAGCCUUACCCUGGAACACCACUGAAGUUUGUGGCAGUUUUGCAUGCACAGCAUUGACAGGAUGUACCUUCAGUAAAAGUGACAAGGCGUUAUUUGCUGCUAAGCAGGGAUUUCCUAGAAGGCUUCAGGAAAGCAAAUAUAUCAGGACUGUUGUUGCUACAAAGAGCACAGUGACAAAAGAAUGAAUGCUUCUGAAGGAUCUCCCCUUAUUUGAAAGGAGCAAAAGUAAAUAAAAGCACUUAAUAGACUUUGUAGUCA
This 1391-nucleotide long non-coding RNA is filed under the name Phasianus colchicus (ring-necked pheasant). RNAcentral describes it as "lncRNA (ENSPCLG00000010917.1)". The record is from RNAcentral. Lineage: Eukaryota; Metazoa; Chordata; Aves; Galliformes; Phasianidae.